AGGUUAAGUAGUAUAAUAUGUACGUAUCACUUACAAUGAUAAGGAUCGUGAUCUUUCUUUUAAGCGACUUAACUU
This 75-nucleotide transfer RNA is filed under the name Cerion incanum. RNAcentral's name for it is "tRNA-Val". Lineage: Eukaryota; Metazoa; Mollusca; Gastropoda; Stylommatophora; Cerionidae. The record is from RNAcentral.